Molecule: small nuclear RNA, 126 nt
Organism: Cercocebus atys (sooty mangabey)
Lineage: Eukaryota; Metazoa; Chordata; Mammalia; Primates; Cercopithecidae
Source: Ensembl
ACCACCCUUUUCUUGGGGUUGCGCUACUAUCCAAGGAGUGCAUAGCGAGGGCAGCACUGCUAAUGCCUACACAGCACUCCCAGCUCAGCUGGAGCUUUGCUUUACCUUGGUGCAAUUUUUGGAAAA